UGAGGUGUGGAUAGGGGAGAAAUUCCAAUCGAACCCGGAGAUAGCUGGUUCUCCUCGAAAUAGCUUUAGGGCUAGCCUCGUUUUAGUCUUAUGGAGGUAGAGCACUGAAUUUCCGCGGGGGCGUCAAAGCUUACCAAAGAAUAUCAAACUCCGAAUGCCAUGUAGAUGAUGAACGGGAGUCAGACUGCACGAGAUAAGUUGGGCGGUCAAAAGGGAAAGAGCCCAGACCACCGGCUAAGGUCCCAAAGUGUGUGUUAAGUGGAAAAGGAUGUGGGAAUUCGAAGACAACUAGGAUGUUGGCUCAGAAGCAGCCAUACAUUCAAAGAGUGCGUAACAGCUCACUAGUCGAGAGUCCCUGCGCCGAAAAUGUCCGGGGCUGAAACACAACACCGAAGCCGUGGACUCCGUAAGGAGUGGUAGAGGAGCAUUCUUAAAACCGACGAAGCUGUACCGGUAAGGAGCAGUGGAGGGAUAAGAAGAGAGAAUGCCGGAAUGAGUAGCGAGAGGAAGGUGGGAAUCCUUCCGGCCGAAUAUCUAAGGUUUCCAGAGUAAAGCUGAUCUGCUCUGGGUAAGUCGGGGCCUAAGGAGAGGUCGCAAGACGUAUCCGAUGGACAACAGGUUUAGAUUCCUGUACCGCAUAUAAACAGAACUGUGGGGACGCAUGUGGAAAGCAUAAGCCGGGAAUGGAAAGACCGGUACAAGCGGGGUAGGUGUGUGACAGGCAAAUCCGUCAUAUAAGCCGAAGACGUGAUGUGGAGCGAAAUUUAGUAGUGAAGUAUGUGAGCCAUGUGCCGAGAAAAGCCGCUAUUGUUUUAUAUGUGCCCGUACCGUAAACCGACACAGGUGGAUGAGGAGAGAAUCCUAAGGCCGACGGAAGAAGCAUUGUUAAGGAAUUCGGCAAAAUGACCCCGUAACUUCGGGAGAAGGGGUGCCCACUGAAUGGUGGGCCGCAGAGAAUAGGCUCAAGCAACUGUUUAGCAAAAACACAGGUCUAUGCGAAACCGAAAGGUGAAGUAUAUGGGCUGACGCCUGCCCGGUGCUGGAAGGUUAAGAGGAGAGGUUAGCGCAAGCGAAGCUUUGAAUUUAAGCCCCAGUAAACGGCGGCCGUAACUAUAACGGUCCUAAGGUAGCGAAAUUCCUUGUCGGGUAAGUUCCGACCC
This 1160-nucleotide ribosomal RNA is filed under the name human gut metagenome. RNAcentral's name for it is "bacterial LSU rRNA". It matches the Rfam family "Bacterial large subunit ribosomal RNA", at positions 805 to 1989 of the family's 2925-position model. The record is from RNAcentral.